RNAcentral lists this long non-coding RNA (312 nucleotides) under Musa acuminata (dwarf banana). RNAcentral describes it as "long non-coding RNA (MACU_LNC009133)". Lineage: Eukaryota; Viridiplantae; Streptophyta; Magnoliopsida; Zingiberales; Musaceae. The record is from RNAcentral.
UAACUUCUCCCUACUCACUACCUUGGGUAUAAACAAGUAAAGACUAACUACUUACUCUCGCCCUUAAGUAAAUGGUGUGAGUUGAAGACCGAGCCCCUCUUCGUAUUCUUAGAACAUAUGAGCUAUCGGGCCAAGUAACGGAUAGACAAGACGCCUAGUCACUACAAAAGCUAGAGCAGCGCUUGGCGAGUCCUAAUUGAGUCUUUUUAUUCCGACGACUACUCUAGUAAAGUUUCUAUGGGUGGUUGGUUACCGGUAUCCAUCAUACCUUGCUAAUUCAGCUGUUUCUUCCGAUCUGUCAAGCUACUACUA